Molecule: ribosomal RNA, 2855 nt
Filed under: Staphylococcus aureus M0638
Lineage: Bacteria; Bacillati; Bacillota; Bacilli; Caryophanales; Staphylococcaceae
Description: bacterial LSU rRNA
Rfam family: Bacterial large subunit ribosomal RNA
Source: RNAcentral
CGAUAUGCUUUGGGGAGCUGUAAGUAAGCUUUGAUCCAGAGAUUUCCGAAUGGGGAAACCCAGCAUGAGUUAUGUCAUGUUAUCGAUAUGUGAAUACAUAGCAUAUCAGAAGGCACACCCGGAGAACUGAAACAUCUUAGUACCCGGAGGAAGAGAAAGAAAAUUCGAUUCCCUUAGUAGCGGCGAGCGAAACGGGAAGAGCCCAAACCAACAAGCUUGCUUGUUGGGGUUGUAGGACACUCUAUACGGAGUUACAAAGGACGACAUUAGACGAAUCAUCUGGAAAGAUGAAUCAAAGAAGGUAAUAAUCCUGUAGUCGAAAAUGUUGUCUCUCUUGAGUGGAUCCUGAGUACGACGGAGCACGUGAAAUUCCGUCGGAAUCUGGGAGGACCAUCUCCUAAGGCUAAAUACUCUCUAGUGACCGAUAGUGAACCAGUACCGUGAGGGAAAGGUGAAAAGCACCCCGGAAGGGGAGUGAAAUAGAACCUGAAACCGUGUGCUUACAAGUAGUCAGAGCCCGUUAAUGGGUGAUGGCGUGCCUUUUGUAGAAUGAACCGGCGAGUUACGAUUUGAUGCAAGGUUAAGCAGUAAAUGUGGAGCCGUAGCGAAAGCGAGUCUGAAUAGGGCGUUUAGUAUUUGGUCGUAGACCCGAAACCAGGUGAUCUACCCUUGGUCAGGUUGAAGUUCAGGUAACACUGAAUGGAGGACCGAACCGACUUACGUUGAAAAGUGAGCGGAUGAACUGAGGGUAGCGGAGAAAUUCCAAUCGAACCUGGAGAUAGCUGGUUCUCUCCGAAAUAGCUUUAGGGCUAGCCUCAAGUGAUGAUUAUUGGAGGUAGAGCACUGUUUGGACGAGGGGCCCCUCUCGGGUUACCGAAUUCAGACAAACUCCGAAUGCCAAUUAAUUUAACUUGGGAGUCAGAACAUGGGUGAUAAGGUCCGUGUUCGAAAGGGAAACAGCCCAGACCACCAGCUAAGGUCCCAAAAUAUAUGUUAAGUGGAAAAGGAUGUGGCGUUGCCCAGACAACUAGGAUGUUGGCUUAGAAGCAGCCAUCAUUUAAAGAGUGCGUAAUAGCUCACUAGUCGAGUGACACUGCGCCGAAAAUGUACCGGGGCUAAACAUAUUACCGAAGCUGUGGAUUGUCCUUUGGACAAUGGUAGGAGAGCGUUCUAAGGGCGUUGAAGCAUGAUCGUAAGGACAUGUGGAGCGCUUAGAAGUGAGAAUGCCGGUGUGAGUAGCGAAAGACGGGUGAGAAUCCCGUCCACCGAUUGACUAAGGUUUCCAGAGGAAGGCUCGUCCGCUCUGGGUUAGUCGGGUCCUAAGCUGAGGCCGACAGGCGUAGGCGAUGGAUAACAGGUUGAUAUUCCUGUACCACCUAUAAUCGUUUUAAUCGAUGGGGGGACGCAGUAGGAUAGGCGAAGCGUGCGAUUGGAUUGCACGUCUAAGCAGUAAGGCUGAGUAUUAGGCAAAUCCGGUACUCGUUAAGGCUGAGCUGUGAUGGGGAGAAGACAUUGAGUCUUCGAGUCGUUGAUUUCACACUGCCGAGAAAAGCCUCUAGAUAGAAAAUAGGUGCCCGUACCGCAAACCGACACAGGUAGUCAAGAUGAGAAUUCUAAGGUGAGCGAGCGAACUCUCGUUAAGGAACUCGGCAAAAUGACCCCGUAACUUCGGGAGAAGGGGUGCUCUUUAGGGUUAACGCCCAGAAGAGCCGCAGUGAAUAGGCCCAAGCGACUGUUUAUCAAAAACACAGGUCUCUGCUAAACCGUAAGGUGAUGUAUAGGGGCUGACGCCUGCCCGGUGCUGGAAGGUUAAGAGGAGUGGUUAGCUUCUGCGAAGCUACGAAUCGAAGCCCCAGUAAACGGCGGCCGUAACUAUAACGGUCCUAAGGUAGCGAAAUUCCUUGUCGGGUAAGUUCCGACCCGCACGAAAGGCGUAACGAUUUGGGCACUGUCUCAACGAGAGACUCGGUGAAAUCAUAGUACCUGUGAAGAUGCAGGUUACCCGCGACAGGACGGAAAGACCCCGUGGAGCUUUACUGUAGCCUGAUAUUGAAAUUCGGCACAGCUUGUACAGGAUAGGUAGGAGCCUUUGAAACGUGAGCGCUAGCUUACGUGGAGGCGCUGGUGGGAUACUACCCUAGCUGUGUUGGCUUUCUAACCCGCACCACUUAUCGUGGUGGGAGACAGUGUCAAGCGGGCAGUUUGACUGGGGCGGUCGCCUCCUAAAAGGUAACGGAGGCGCUCAAAGGUUCCCUCAGAAUGGUUGGAAAUCAUUCAUAGAGUGUAAAGGCAUAAGGGAGCUUGACUGCGAGACCUACAAGUCGAGCAGGGUCGAAAGACGGACUUAGUGAUCCGGUGGUUCCGCAUGGAAGGGCCAUCGCUCAACGGAUAAAAGCUACCCCGGGGAUAACAGGCUUAUCUCCCCCAAGAGUUCACAUCGACGGGGAGGUUUGGCACCUCGAUGUCGGCUCAUCGCAUCCUGGGGCUGUAGUCGGUCCCAAGGGUUGGGCUGUUCGCCCAUUAAAGCGGUACGCGAGCUGGGUUCAGAACGUCGUGAGACAGUUCGGUCCCUAUCCGUCGUGGGCGUAGGAAAUUUGAGAGGAGCUGUCCUUAGUACGAGAGGACCGGGAUGGACAUACCUCUGGUGUACCAGUUGUCGUGCCAACGGCAUAGCUGGGUAGCUAUGUGUGGACGGGAUAAGUGCUGAAAGCAUCUAAGCAUGAAGCCCCCCUCAAGAUGAGAUUUCCCAACUUCGGUUAUAAGAUCCCUCAAAGAUGAUGAGGUUAAUAGGUUCGAGGUGGAAGCAUGGUGACAUGUGGAGCUGACGAAUACUAAUCGAUCGAAGACUUAAUCAA